GACAGAGGUGCCGAGCGUUAGGCGGAAUCACUGGGCUUAAAGCGUGUGUAGGCGGAUGCCUAAGUACCUUGUGAAAUCCCACGGCUCAACCGUGGAACUGCUUGGUAUACUGGGUGUCUUGAGCUAUCUAGGGGCAACUGGAACAAACGGUGGAGCGGUGAAAUGCGUAGAUAUCGUUUGGAACGCCAAUGGUGAAAACAACUUGCUGGGGGUGUGCUGACGCUGAGACACGAAAGCCAGGGGAGCAAACGGG
RNAcentral lists this ribosomal RNA (253 nucleotides) under uncultured bacterium. RNAcentral's name for it is "partial 16S ribosomal RNA". It matches the Rfam family "Bacterial small subunit ribosomal RNA", at positions 524 to 776 of the family's 1533-position model. The record is from RNAcentral.